This 13591-nucleotide long non-coding RNA is filed under the name Hordeum vulgare. Its description in RNAcentral is "long non-coding RNA (HVUL_LNC021489)". Lineage: Eukaryota; Viridiplantae; Streptophyta; Magnoliopsida; Poales; Poaceae. The record is from RNAcentral.
CACAAUAAUCAACUAGAAGAAUGACAAGUACGUAGUACAAUUUAUUUCAUGAUAUGAAUAAACAUAUCGUGAUGGGCCCAUGAGGUUCCCUAUAUCUGGAUUGUUACAAGUGCUCGAUCAGGCGAAAUAAAGUCGCCAAAAGAAACAAAUAAAAAUGAAAGAAAAACUAGUGCACGUACAAUGUGCAUUCGUGACAAUGAAAUUAUGAGAAACAAUAGAAUAUAAUUUGGUGUGUGUGGCAGGAGGGGGUAUGUUAUUUGGUGCAGACGAUGGUGUUGUGCAUGCUUCUAAAUAUUAAUGAGAUGCAACUUACGGAAUUGGCCGGCUAGCCUCCGUGAAGCUAUCCUCCAUCUUCUUGAACUUCUCAGCGGGUGCUGCGGCAGUAACUAUCUUAGCGGCUAUCUUGUAGGCCAAUAGAUGUGUAUCAAAUUUCGCCUUGUCUCCCUUGGCCUUCUUCAUCGUGUCCAUAGCGAGGAGUUCCUGCUUUGCAACAGCCCCGGCUACUUUCAUCCUUUCGGAUGGUGGGGCGGCGGCGAGGACCCCGUCUAGGGCUGUCUUGAUGAUGGGUGUUAGCUCAUCCAAGGCGGCCUCCUCGGACUUGACGAUGGCGGCGCUUGCAAGCAUUGGUAAUGAUGCGAUUUCCACCAUGACGAUGAGAAGGGUUAGUGCCACCGCAAUGUUCUGGAGUGGGGCCAUUGCUCUUGUUGGCCUAACAGGUGGCUAAGAGGAAUAAUUCACCAGGAUUUCAGUGAGAUUGAUGUUUUCACCUUGGAGGUCUAUAAAGGUGGUCCUUGCUUUAAAUAGGUGACGUUGCACAAAGAGAGCGCGAGGCCACGAGAGCUUCGCGGGCGCCAUGCCGUACGUGGGUGAAAACUUUCUUGCAUGCACGCAUGUCUAGCCGUGUGAGCAACCGCUUUCCUCUCAAUCGUAAUUCCUAAGAUGUAGGAGUACCAUCCAUCUAGCUGGGCAGCAUCACUAGUAAAAUGACCGGAUCUUGUCUGGUGUGCAUGGUUCCAUGUAUCAGAGGUUCAUGAUAUAACCUUCUGAAUGAGAGGUUCACGAUACAACCUUUUGACUACAACGCUAACUCUGUAUGUGCUUCCUAUAUGUCACUUUUAUGCAAAAACCGAUUAGUAUUUGAGUCAGAGCAGGAGAAGGUUGCAGCCAACGUGGGAGGUCAUGUGCUUCCUAUAUGUCACUUUUAUGCAAAAACUUAACUUGGUGUUUUGAAAAUUUUGAAUGUAACUCCCAGUUUUCAAUUAUGUCCAGUUUCUAGGUUAUGACUACAACCCCAAUUUUCCUUGCCCAAACAAUUCCCAAUAUGUCGAGCACUCUGCGUGCGUGCUCCGGGUGUGGCCAGAGCACCCGCACUGCACCCCGACGGCACCCGAGCCCUGCCGAGCCUUUUGGUGCUUCGCCUGCACGUGCACCUCCUCCUCCCCUUGCUCCGUAAGACAUCCACCUCCCUCCGACCCUCUCCCUCGUCCACUAGUGUCGACCACCGCCGUCCUCAUCGUCCUCAACCACCGCAAUAAAGUCCGCCGCCGCAAUCCACUCGGGGACGACAGUGACCUGGCCGCCACCACCGUGCCUUCUUCGGGAAGCCGAGAAACCGAUGUUGCACGGCUAUAUAAGAGCCUCGCCGAGAUCUUCUCAAGGAAUACACAUCUCCUACCCACUCCUAGGACGCCCCCCCCCCGCCCGCCCGCACGCUUUAUCGGCCACGCAAGGCCGUCUUCUUCAUCUCCGGCAGCUUCUGCCGUCGUCACCAUUCAGAUCAUUCCAUCACAACCACGGCUUCCGGCUCCCCACUUUCUUCACCAAUAGGUCCCUACCAGCCCCACGGAUCCGUUCCCCUCCCCAAUUUGGCCGGAGAAAGCCCAUAGGCGAAAUCUCUCUUCGAGCUCCGUCGGAGCUUCUUGAGAGAACCUCGCCGCCGGCGACCUCGUGCCUCCCUUCGGUCAUGACCUACCCCUGCGGGAUCUCGAAGACUUCCUGGUCACGUUGGUGUUUUCAGCUCCUUGAAUAGUGCCGCCGUCCGCAGGCAGCGAUUUCCAGAACUCCACUCUGUUCUGUCGCGGGAGGGAGACGACGAACCGGUCAAAUCAAGCAAGCGGGGCCCAGUCGCAAGCCUCUCCUCGCCUCUCUACUCGUUCCGCUCAGAAGUUGGGCCGGCCCAGUGACACCGCUCGGUUAUAUAGCGCUUAGGGCGCGCUUCUAACGUUCUCUCUUUUCUUUUACCAUCAGAAUACAAUUAUUCCACAACAGUCAUUUUAGGCACAAAAUUGAUGAUUCAAAUUUUCAAAUACUCCUAAGAACAUGCUCUAUUAUUAUAGCUAGGGUGAACAUUUUUCCUUGGCUUAUUUUUUGUUGGGUCCAUUUAAUUGUCCUUUUAAUCAUUUAUUCCAUCUUAGAAAUUCCAUAAAUAAUCCAUAUGAACUCCAAAUGAAUUGAUUCUUUUCUCGUAUUCCUUAUAUUUAAUAUAGUCUAUUUUAGUAUUCAUUUCAAAAUUUUCUAGACAACUUAUUAGCUCUAUUAUGGAGUUAUAUGGUAAUUUAAAUAUUUUUGAAAUAGGAAAUGGAGGGGAGAUAAAUAUUUCAAACUUUUGGAGUGUACCCAAUAUUUAUACAUGCUCAAGGCAAGCAUAUUGAACACUUGACAUGGUGAUUGCAUGCAUAACUGUUGCUAAAAUAAAUUAUCCAUGCAUGAGUUGAAUUUGAGUAGUAUUUGCACAUGGCUACUUUGCAUGCAUGAUUCCUGACUAAUUAUUGCUGUCAUCCUUAAAACUUGAUGUCUGAGUAAGCAUGGUUACUUUUACGUGUCAUAUAUAUGCCUGUGUGAUCCGGACUAAACUCCAGGAAAGAAUUAGUCAAAAGUAAAGUGACCGUGAGACUGAAUUCUCGUGAUGACAAGAAUAAUCAGUAAGGGCAUGUCCAGGUAGUGGCCCUAUUGGGUACUACCGAGAGAAUAUGUCGUGCUAGUCACUGUAGGAAAACAUAACCUCCUGAUUCGACCGUAGAUCGAGUCUUGCUUCGGUAACCCCCAUACUUGAUCUGUGGUGCCACGGGUCCUUCCGCAAAGAAGGUAUCAUUCAGUAACUUGAUAACCCGUGUCCAGGUACACACUACAUAGAGAGCCACGAUGAGGGUUUCCAUGCAUGGACGAAAUCCUGUCAUCCUGUCAGGUGGCAUGGGUGUUUCCGGUAUGUAGCCGAGAGGGGGGAAUCCCUUGUAAUCCAUGCGUAUGAAUAGUGAUCCCAUGGAAGACGUUGGUCUCCCCGUCUUAGAGUUUACCGAAUAGAUGCCCUGGGUGAUUGCUGGCAUCCAGACGGUUAAGCUGGUGUGCGCUGGUGAGGUGUGUUUCAACCUAAAGACCGUAAUGGGAAUUAGCCAACGUCUCGGUGCUGGCUAAAGAAAUCCUUUACUUAUGGGAUAAGAGUAUACCCUCUGCAGAGUUAUAUCUAUUCGAAUAGCCGUGUCCGCGGUUAAGGACUACAAUUUGGGUUGGUGAAGUGUCAGUCUUAGAGUCGGUCUCUAGAGGAAAUAAUGAAAUUGAGCAUGGUCUAUAUUGCAGGAUAACUAUUGCUGCUAGUGUUACUACGAUUAUGAUUGAUGAUAUGAUUAUUAUUGUGGACUAACCCUGUCAAUUUCUUUUAUUUUCUUAGUGUCUCAGGGGCUGGCUAGAUUACCCCGGGCAUUCAGUUUUAUUUUCAAGACCUCUUGUGGCGUCCCUCGAGUUCUCACGCGGUUCUAUCUCGCCACUACUCUUGUGGACACCCGACUGGAAUUUAUUUUCAAGACCUCUCAUGGCGUCCAUCGAGUUCUCAGGCGGUUCUACCUCGCCACUACUCUUGUGGACACCCGACUGGCAUUUCUUUUCAAGACCUCUCGUGGCGUCUCUUGAGUUCUCGGAUGGUUCUGUCUCGUCCAAUUUCUCUUUUAGACACCCGUUUGACAUUUCUCUUCCAGACCUACCGUGGUGUUACCGUGCUGUCACUUGACAUCCAGCCGACCUUUCUUUUAUGUUUUCUAUGGAUUCUCGGAUGGUUCUGUCUCGUCUGAUUUUUCAUCAACCUUCUUUGUUUGUCGCUAACUCGUUACUUCUGCACAUGCUAAUUAAUAUGUCAUCAGGCCAUGAUUUAAUUCCUGUCAGCAUGCAUAUAAUAUAGUCUAGCAUGAGCACAAGCAAAAUAGUUUACUUCUUCAUGAUCAUAUAUUAUUUGCUGCAUUCGGUAUAUCAUUUGUUUAUAAUGUUUGCAAGUACAUUCAAGCAUACUCAUUGGCUUGUCCUUGGGUAUUUCAUUGGCCAGGUCCGAAGAGUAUUAUGAUGACGUCCAUACGGAGCAUAGGAUAGCACCCACGCGGGAUAGGAGUUAUCCAAGUCAGCCGUUCCUCUGGGAAUGGAGCCCCAUCGACGUUGGAGAAUUCACGGAUCGCUUCCGUCAUCCACCACGAGAAAUCAUUAUUGUAUCACUAGACCUUUACAGUCUUGUAUCAAAUUCAUGUAAUUGCUUGGAAGUAUGUCACUACAAAUAAUAUGCUAACUUAUAACCUUCAAUAUUUGUCACCGAAUGGUCGUUGGUUUCCAUUUGCGACCUUUUUACGACAAAAACAGAAGGUCAAAAGCUGAGGGUCUCUAAUGAACUAUAACGACCAAAAUGAAAGGUCGUUGAUUCUACAACCAUUUUUUUCAUCGCUCGCAAUCUGCCCUCACCACGUCGGAUCUGACGUGGCAAGAUGACAUGGCAAAUUUGCGACCAAUUGAAAAGGUUGUUGGUAAGAAUCAGUCCGGUCCAAUUUGGUGUCUAUAUGGGCCAAGCCCAUCAAUUCAGCCCAUUUAUAUUUCCUUCCAAUUUGGGUCAGCUGCAUGGGUGAAGCCCUACAAUUCGGCCUUUUAUUUUCUAGGCCAUGGCCUUUUGACAAUCCAUUUAUUUUCAAGUCCAAUUUUCAAAUGGUAACAACUCUCAGAUUUUUCUAGGCAUAUGUCCCAAUUGUUAGGUUUUGAUAUUUUUUACAGCUUAUUGAUAAGCAAUAUAUCAUAUAGAAAGGAGAGAAAAAACAUAUGAAAAUCUUCAAAUAGCCUCAUUCACAUUCUAGUUUAUUACAAUAUUCUAGUGAGAACAGAACAAAACACUGAAACUACAUACACUCAUUCACAUUACAAUAGCCAGUUUAACCAACAAAUCUUGCAUACCCAGGAACUUCAAACUUCACCCGGAUAACCAAACAAUAUUCCACACAAUAAAAAAUAUUGCAAUCUACAAAUAAAACGCUCUGCAAGUGUAAAAGAUGACUACUCUUGGAUACCAUGGAACAUGCUCUUCGACAUGGAAAGAAGUCAUCAACGAUGUUCUACCAAUGGACGUUCCAUUCACCUACAAGAACAGAACGGAAUAUCAAGUACUUGCAUUGUUCCAGCAGAUUACAACCAACAUAUAUAUGUAGAAGUACAUCAGGAAAUAUGAUGGAGCAAAUCGGACAACAAAUACAUUAAGUAGACAGCCCAACUGAUGGUUGAUGACGACAAGCAAAAAGUAUAAACCCAGGUUUGCAUCCAAACAACAUUUAGAGCUAGAAUGAUAACUAAUAGACUAUAAGCAUACAAAAGGAAAUAUAAUUUCAGCAAAAUUAAAACCGAUGAUGAAAACUAAAUAAUAGUGCAGCAUAUUAGCUCUUAGAAUGAAGGAACAUCAUCAAAUUAAACAAGACAGUUGUUCAAGUUUCUAUACAACUAUUCAUGAUUAGAGUUUGUUAUUGUCGUCCAAAUUCUCCAACAUGUACAAAAUUAAUUAAUACAUCUGAAUGAACAAACAUGACGCCAUGAAGCAUCAGGCCAGCCAUGAUUUACAUAUUUUCCAAUGAACAAACAUGAUACAUGCAUCAACGAUUAGGCCAUUAAGCAUCUGUCCCAUAUUUGUUCAACAGGACGAGUACAUACCUGAAUUUGGGUCGAUGCGAUGGAUGAGGCUGCAGUUGAACAUCUGGUCUAGGGAUGAGCCUGCUAAUCCCAAUCGAACAAACAAAUUCAUUAGGAGGGGCUUGGAGAGACAAGGAAGAAAUGAAGUAAACAUACGUACAUGUCUAUAUAUAAGCAGCAGAAGUAAGUAAUAUAAAUAUAUCCUGUUUCUUCCUCUACAACACUAAAUAGAGCAACACCAAUCAUUGUACACAAGGAGCAGCAACGGCAAGCCGAUAAAGAAAGCUCAGGAUUUGUGUCUUUUGCAAGUUUUAGCACAUUAGUACAUGUGUUAAAAUGAAAGCGUCCCUGCUGGGUUAUAUUAAUAAAUAAUCCAAGUGUUGAAACAGUCAACAAAAUAAAAAAAUUCUAUACACACGCACAGAACACGACACACCUGGUUGCUUGCAAGGCUAUUUUUUAUUGGCCAGACUACUUGCAUCCAAGAAUGAAAAAAGGAAUUCGUUCGUUGGUAGGAUGUUGUAUAUAAGGUGCAAAUGAAACAUAAUGUGAUGGAUGCUGACUGCCUACGUGCACAAUGCGUGCCGGCAACGGAUGCCGCUGCCGUCCGCCUGCCUACUACUGCUGUACCUAGCUGCUGCUGCUAUUGCUGCUGCAAAUGACGGGUUGAGCCGCAGGCGUAGCACAGCAGGCCAGGGAAGUGUGUAGCUGGUCCUGAUGGAAAUUUUGCAAUGGCAAGAAAAACAAAACAUAAUAGGCAAGCAGUGUGUAUAAUCCACGGACGACACAUAAAAACAACGAUCUGCUUCGGUGGGACUCACUAGUACUUAAGUCUAAAAUUCAAUCAGUCAUCUGGAGCUGGCACGGAAGGGACAAAGCGAGCAUGAGAACAGAAUUCGCCCUAAUUAAAGGUGCCCGUACGCUACUACUGAAGAAAAAAGAAACAAACAUAAACCAUUUGACUGAAUUAGAGGUGCAGAUAGUUGAUCUUUGAAUUUAGAAAUUACCUGUAAACAUAACUCGUCAAUACAAUACACAACAAAUUGGAAGGAAACAUAAUUUUCGAUGGUCCGUACACAAAGAUAUUAGCACUAAACUGAAUUUAUAAAGACAAUAAUGUACAAGUUUCAUCAGCUAACUCUAAGUGCUUGUGCGACCAAAGAGAACUAUAGCAGGAGAAUUUUUUAUGCUAACUACAAAGAUAUGCAUCGAUCAGUACAAACAAAAAAGUAUAACUACCAACAAACAACCCAUAUCGCUGAAAGCAGUACCAAGUAACCGACAACAAGCUCUCAAACAGGCAAUGCUAGGCACAAUUGCUAGUAAUACAUGUUAUUUUUGCAAAGUGGUUUAGUGCUAUGAUAAUUUUCUACACGUACUCCCUGAUUUUUCUUAGUCAUAUACUGAUCUGCUCACUCCAGUUCUAUCUACUCACCAUAUUCACAUGCAACAUAAGGAACUAGUGUAGAAAACCACUCAACCGCAUUCACAGCAACGAACAAGGUAGAUGGAUAUAUGCGUGCAUUGGUCACCUCGCGUCGCUGACCUGCGCGAACUUGAUGAAGAAGACGUCGGUGUAGUCCUCACAGUCCUCGGCGUCCAUGGGCUUGCACCUGAACCCAAACAAACGCACGCACACACAGAGAGACACGGAAAGAAAGAAAAAUGGUGAGCACUGAACAUUAGCAGGGAGAAGAAGAUGCGGAUUCAGGUCGCUUCUAUCGGUUCACUUUUCCAGGGGGCAUACGCCGAGAACGUGGAGCCGAGCUCGUCGCCGCAACCGAGUGUCGGCACGUUCCAGACGACGAGGUACCUGCGGUCGAAUCGGUGUUCGGGAUAAGACGCAAGGAGGGGUUACCGGCGGUGAUGCGGAGGAGGAGAGGUUGCGCUAGGGUUGAGGAGUGGUGGUUACUUGGACUCGUCGCAGACCCAUCCUGCAGCAGCGGCAUGUCCUUGACGCUGACCAUCCCCGGCAUGUUCCGCACAAUAGAAUCCAUCAUCUUGGCUCCGAUCCGAAAAUAUCACCACCAGAGGGGGACGAAGCGGCCGCGGAUCUGGUCCUCCGGCGAGAGGCCGAGCAAUUUGGAGUGCAGAUAUAGCUAGGCUUAGUGGCGGGUCGGAGCGAUUUGGAGGAAGAAGUAGGAGGGGAGAGGCUUACCGGUGCCAGAUCCGACCACCUCUGGCCUCGCCGUCACCGGAUGUGUGAGAUCGAUCCCGGGGGUGUGCUGCACACCGGCGAGAGCGGCGUCAACUCGCCGGAAUCAAGCGGCGCAAGUGACGGCGGCAGAGGAGUCGCAGGAGGGGGACAGAGAUAUGGCUCGCAGGGGAGAACGGGGAUAGUGGUUUUGUUUAGAUUAGGUCGAACGAGAUACAUUGGAUCUGCAUGGUGUGGACGGUCUAGAUUCGCUAGAGUGGGGUGAUCCGUGGGAGGGUGUUUUCAACCUCCUGAUUGGUUCAAGAUAUGUGUAAUUGAAAAUGGUUUUUAGUGCUAUAAAAACAAGGAAUUUUUUAAAGAAACUAUGAAAAAUAUUUUACAAAAUGACACCAUGCUAUAGUUUUUUCAAAUGUUCCCACAGUGUUCCCAAAUGAAAUAAUAUUUUACAUAAUGACCGCAUUUUCAAAUGGGGAUGCAAAAUUCAAAAAAAUUCAAAAAAAUGUAAAACCUUCGCAUCGUGUCACUUUAUGUGACCAAGUUAUCAGGAAAAACAAUAAACUUGAAUACGACAAUUAUUUUUAAAAAGUGUUCUAAAAAGUGAGCUAUCACUUGUGAAGAUUCAUAGCUUUCAAGCGAGAUGAUCGAUCUUAUGGCCACAUUCAUGGCAUAGUUUGUUCAAAUGAUCUCAUAUUGUACACAAGGUUGCAUAUUGGAAUGGCCAACAAUGUUGCUUAAGGAAGUUUUCAUUUCCCUUGUAUGAAAAAUUCAUUUUCCAUUUUUCAAGUGUCCAAAAUAAGUUUUUUGUGAAGGACCUACCAUAUAUUUAUUGCCAAAUUGAACCAGAUCAUUUUUCUAAAAUUCUUUGUCAUAUUUAAUGUACAAUUGACCAAAUAUUUGGGUGUUAAAAGUUUUAUCCACCUGUCGUGAAAAGACAAAUUUCCCCGAAUUCAGUAGGAAGCGGGUCAAAUUUGAACUGCAACUCCCUCAUAGUUUGCUCUUUAUUUUUCCCAAAAAUCAUUUGUAGGUAGAUAGGUAUCUAUUUAAUCAUAGAAACACCAAAAUGUUUCCAAUAUUCAACAACUAGCUAGGAACGGUCAUGCCCACCGUUUUGACCGCAUUUUGAAACAGGCAUGAAAAAUUCAAAAAAACUCAAAAAAUUGGAAAACCUUCUCAUUGUGACAUUAUAUGUGACCAAGUUACCGAAAAAAUAAUAAACUUGUAAUAAGGCAAUUAUUUUAGAGAAGUGUUCUAAAAAAUGAGCUAUCACGUAUGAAGAUUCAUAGCUUUCAAGCGAGAUGAUCGAUCUUAUUGCCACAUUCAUGGCAUAGUUUGCUCAAAUGAUCUCUUAUUAUGCACAAGGGUGCAUAUUGAAAUGGCAAACAUUGUCGCUUAAGGAAGUUUGCAUUUUCUUCGUAUGAAAAAAUCAUUUUCCAUUUUUCUAGUGUCCAAAAUGAGUUUCUUUGUGAAGGACCUACCAUAUAUUUGUUGCCAAAUUGAACCAAAUCAUUUUUCUAAAAUACUAUGCCAGAUAUAAUUUAUAAUUGACAAAUAUUUUGGGUGUUAAAAGCUUUUAUCCACAUCUUGUGAAAAAGACAAAUUUCUCCCGAUUCAGUAGGAAGCGGGUAAAAUUUGAACCGCAUCUCCCUCAUAGUUUGCUCUUUAUUUUUCUCAAAAAUCAUUUACACAUAGAUAGGUAUCUAUAUAAGCAUAGAAACACCAAACAAUUUCUAAUAUUCAACCACUAGCUAGGAACGGUCAUGCUGACCAUUUUGACCGCAUUUUGAAACGGUCAUAAAAAAUUCAAAAAUUAUCAAAAAUUGGAAAAACCAUCCCAUUAUGUCAUUAUAUGUGACCAAGUUACCUGGAAAAUAAUAAUCUUGUAAUACGACAAUGAUUUUUCAAAAGUGUUCUAAAAAAUGAGCUAUCACGUGUGAAGAUUCAUAGUUUUCAAGCAAGAUGAUCGAUCUUAUGUCCACAUUCAUGGCAUAGUUUGUUCAAAUGAUCUCAUAUUGUGCACAAGGAUGCAUAUUGGAAUGAAAAACAAUGUUGCCUAAGGAAGUUUCAUUUUCCUUGUAUGAAAAAUCCAUUUUCUAUUUUUCAAAUGCCCAAAAUGAGAUUCUUUGUGAAGGACCUAUCAUAUAUUUGUUGCCAAAUUGAACCAAAUCAUUUUACUAAAAUACUAUGCCAUAUUUUAUGUACAAUUGAAAAAAUGUUUGGGUGUUAAAAGCUUUUAUCCACUUCUCGUGAAAAAGACAAAUUUCCCCCCGAUUCAGUAGGAAGCGGGGUCAAAUUUGAAUUGCAUCUCCCUCAUAGUUUGCUCUUUAUUUUUUCCGAAAAUCAUUUAUAGGUACAUAGGUAUCUAUUUAAUCAUAUAAACACCAAAUGUUUCCAAUAUUCAACCACUAGCUAGGAACGGUCAUGCCCACCGUUUUGACCGCAUUUUGAAACGGGCAUGAAAAAUUCAAAACAAUAAAAAAUUGGAAAACCUUUGCAUUGUGUCAUUAUAUGUGACAAAGUUACUAGGAAAAAUAAUAAACUUGUAAUACGAUAAUUAUUUUUAAAAAGUGUUCUCAGAUUGAGAAAUCAUGUAUGAAGAUCAAUGGCUUUCAAGGAAAAUGAUCAAUGUUAUGGUAUCAUUCAUGGCAUAGUUUAUUAAAAUGACCUCAUAUUGUGCACAACGGUGCAUCUUGGAAUGGAAAACAACGUUGUCUAAGGAAGUUUUCAUUUUCUUUGGACGGAAAAUUCAUUUUCUACAUUUCGAAUGCCAAAAAUGAGUUUUUUGUGAAAGACCUACGAUAUUUUUAUUUGCAAAAUUGGAUCAAAUUAUUUUUAUAAAAUAUUAUAUCAUAUUUAAUGUACAAUUGACAAAAUGGUUGGGAGUUAAAAUCAUUGAGACACCUCUCGUGAAAAAGACAAAUUUUCCUUGAUUCAAUAGGAAACGGGUCAAAUUUAAACUGCAGGUGCAUUAUAGUUUGCUAUUUAUUUUCCCAAAAAUCAUUCAUAGGUACAUAAGUAUCUAUUUAAUCAGAGAUACAUGGUGUGGUGGUAGGACGUCGAGGUUUGGAUGGUGUCUGAGGGGCCUGCCUGCCAACCGCGUGGUCACCCUAAAAGAGCUUAUAUUUCUUCAAAGCAUCUCACUAUAUCCCCUUUUUAUCCGACAGAUACUUAUAAGAUGGAUGCACUGAUGGAAUAAAUCGAAGAAACAACACCAUUAAUGUACUAAUAAAAGUAACAAAAUGCAUCGAAAUAGGGGUACUAUGCCAGAAGGAGGCCUCCUCUGAACGGCCUUCUACAAUAGAUAUAAAGAGCAAAGCUAUUCUUUAAAUGGAUUCAUAUUUGCUUGGACCGUAUUACUAGACCCAUUCCGUUAUUAAAUGUAUUCAUUUGAAGAAUGGAUUACGGUGUUUGAUUGUGGUAUUAUUGUUAGACGAUAGGCUUAUACCAUGUAAUGUGACUUGUAUAUUAGACUAGACUCUAGAGUGACAUGCCGGUUGUUGAGAAACCUGUACCGGCUAUCCUUAUGAACUGCGACAAUCAAACAGUGAUCACGAAAGUAAGCAGCUGAAAGGAUAACAUAAAACCAUCAAGACACGUCUAGAGAAGUUUAAAAUUUGACAGGAAAAUGAGAAACUCUAUAGUUAUUGCAUUGGAUUAUAUCCAAAAAUCUCAAAAUCUGACAGAUCCUUUUACUAAAGGUCUAUCACGUAAUGUGACAGAUAAUGCAUCGAAGGAGAUGGGUAUGAGACCCACAAUAUGAGUUGUUCAUAGUAGUAACCUAUUCGUUAUGAUCGUAGAUCCUAUGAAUUAGAUGUGGAAGACAAGUUGUUGGUCAACUGAGAGGAAAGUAUCCUUAUCAUUGAUAAUACCACUCCAUGAAGAUGCAAUACUUUCCUAAACUGCAUGGCAGGUUGAUAUACAUCAUAAUAUGUUCUAAGUGGCUUAUUGAAGCAGAGAUGUGGUCCUUCAGAACAUCUUUUGAAGAACACACCUAUAUGAGUCUGAUCGUUAACGUCGCAAUCUAUGAGAGUAGGGUGCUCUCUAGUAAACUCAUGAAUGGUCUCGGAGUAUGACACAUAAGCUCCACCCGCAGGGAAGUCCUACGGUAGCCUAGUAUCGGUCAAGGCUCUGUGUGAAGCUAGAUUCGCAGAAUACUUGUUGUUCAAGGCCUAGUCCACUUUUCAAGUUGCUUACUAGUGUAGCAUAUCUGUGAGAAGACAAUUAAGAGAAUGUAGAUAAUGAGAGUUAUCAGGGCUAGAGCACACACGUGUGAUCGAGCUAAAACAACCCGAUGAGACAAGUUGUUUCAUUGAUUUGUUUCUUACAUCAUCAGUUUAAAUAGUGGUAGUACUUGUUAAAUUCGUCGCCACGGCAAAUUUGAAUGGUUUGGAAAUUUAGUCAUCCAUGGAAGACUCUAAGGCUAGCUUGCUGCUCGUACCAUUUAUUCAUUGUUUUGUUGAUUAAAUCUGAUUGACAAGAACUAGCUAGUCGACCGGUCGUGCAUGCAUGUGACUGAGGUGAGUUGAGGCCCAUAUAUAAGACCGACUGAGCGACCAUGUUUGGUUUCAUGCAUCCAACUUAUCAGCACCAAAUGCAUGGCAUGCACAUGGACAAGAAGAGUGAAGAGUUAAGGAUAUAUUAAUACAAUUAGUCUAAUCUGCUAGAGAAGAGCAAUGCGGCGCUGUGCCGCAAGGCCGGUAACAUACAACAUCGAAGAAGCGCUCUAGAGUUUCAAGUGAAGCAUAGUUGAAUGAGUCAACCAUGCACAAUAAUCAACUAGAAGAAUGACAAGUACGUAGUACAAUUUAUUUCAUGAUAUGAAUAAACAUAUGGUGAUGGGCCCAUGAGGUUCCCUAUAUCUGGAUUGUUACAAGUGCUCGAUCAGGCGAAAUAAAGUCGGCAAAAGACACAAAUAAAAAUGAAACAAAAACUAGUGCACGUACAAUGUGCAUUCGUGACAAUGAAAUUAUGAGAAACAAUAGAAUAUUAUUUGGUGUGUGUGGCAGGAGGGGGUAUGUUAUUUGGCGCAGACGAUGGUGUUGUGCAUGCUUCUAAAUAUUAAUGAGAUGCAACUUACGGAAUUGGCCGGCUAGCCUCCGUGAAGCUAUCCUCCAUCUUCUUGAACUUUUCAGCGGGCGCUGCGGCAGUAACUAUCUUAGCGGCUAUCUUGUAGGCCAAUAGAUGUGUAUCAAAUUUCGCCUUGUCUCCCUUGGCCUUCUUCAUCGUGUCCAUAGCGAGGAGUUCCUGCUUUGCAACAGCCCCGGCUACUUUGAUCCUUUCGGAUGGUGGGGCGGCGGCGAGGACCCCGUCUAGGGCCGUCUUGAUGAUGGGUGUUAGCUCAUCCAACGCGGCCUCCUCGGACUUGACGAUGGUGGCGCUUGCAAGCAUUGGUAAUGAUGCGAUUUCCACCAUGACGAUGAGAAGGGUUAGUGCCACCGCAAUGUUCUGGAGUGGGGCCAUUGCUCUUGUUGGCCUAACAGGUGGCUGAGAGGAAUGAUUCACCGGGAUUUCAGAUUGAUGUUU